CGCGUAGGCGGACAGUUUAGUCAGAGGUGAAAGCCCAGGGCUCAACCCUGGAAUUGCCUUUGAUACUGGCUGUCUUGAGUACGGGAGAGGUGUGUGGAACUCCGAGUGUAGAGGUGAAAUUCGUAGAUAUUCGGAAGAACACCAGUGGCGAAGGCGACACACUGGCCCGUUACUGACGCUGAGGCGCGAAAGCGUGGGGAGCAAACAGGAUUAGAUACCCUGGUAGUCCACGCCGUAAACGAUGAGUGCUAGUUGUCGGCAUGCAUGCAUGUCGGUGACGCAGCUAACGCAUUAAGCACUCCGCCUGGGGAGUACGGUCGCAAGAUUAAA
RNAcentral lists this ribosomal RNA (330 nucleotides) under uncultured Pseudomonadota bacterium. RNAcentral describes it as "bacterial SSU rRNA". It matches the Rfam family "Bacterial small subunit ribosomal RNA", at positions 568 to 898 of the family's 1533-position model. The record is from RNAcentral. Lineage: Bacteria; Pseudomonadati; Pseudomonadota.